RNAcentral lists this ribosomal RNA (252 nucleotides) under uncultured bacterium. Its description in RNAcentral is "partial 16S ribosomal RNA". It matches the Rfam family "Bacterial small subunit ribosomal RNA", at positions 524 to 776 of the family's 1533-position model. RNAcentral also lists the same sequence under 1 other name. The record is from RNAcentral.
UACGUAGGCGGCGAGCGUUGUCCGGAAUUAUUGGGCGUAAAGGGAGCGCAGGUGGGAAUGUAAGUCUUUCUUAAAAGUGCGGGGCUCAACCCCGUGAUGGGAAAGAAACUAUAUUUCUUGAGUGCAGGAGAGGAAAGCGGAAUUCCUAGUGUAGCGGUGAAAUGCGUAGAUAUUAGGAGGAACACCAGUGGCGAAGGCGGCUUUCUGGACUGUAACUGACACUGAGGCUCGAAAGCCAGGGGAGCGAACGGG